This 497-nucleotide ribosomal RNA is filed under the name uncultured bacterium. RNAcentral describes it as "partial 16S ribosomal RNA". It matches the Rfam family "Bacterial small subunit ribosomal RNA", at positions 28 to 507 of the family's 1533-position model. The record is from RNAcentral.
GAUGAACGCUGGCGGCGUGCCUAAUACAUGCAAGUCGAGCGAACGGACGAGAAGCUUGCUUCUCUGAUGUUAGCGGCGGACGGGUGAGUAACACGUGGAUAACCUACCUAUAAGACUGGGAUAACUUCGGGAAACCGGAGCUAAUACCGGAUGAUAUUUUGAACCGCAUGGUUCAAAAGUGAAAGACGGUCUUGCUGUCACUUAUAGAUGGAUCCGCGCUGCAUUAGCUAGUUGGUAAGGUAACGGCUUACCAAGGCAACGAUGCAUAGCCGACCUGAGAGGGUGAUCGGCCACACUGGAACUGAGACACGGUCCAGACUCCUACGGGAGGCAGCAGUAGGGAAUCUUCCGCAAAGGGCGAAAGCCUGACGGAGCAACGCCGCGUGAGUGAUGAAGGUCUUCGGAUCGUAAAACUCUGUUAUUAGGGAAGAACAUAUGUGUAAGUAACUGCGCACAUCUUGACGGUACCUAAUCAGAAAGCCACGGCUAACUACGUG